Molecule: unclassified non-coding RNA, 220 nt
Filed under: fungal sp.
Lineage: Eukaryota; Fungi
Description: partial internal transcribed spacer region
Rfam family: Eukaryotic small subunit ribosomal RNA (bases 1-46)
Source: RNAcentral
AAGUCGUAACAAGGUUUCCGUAGGUGAACCUGCGGAAGGAUCAUUAACAAAUUCAAUUUAUUUACACCUGUGAACCGACCGUAUCCAAGAAGAGGUGGGGCAAUAGUGAUGUUGCCCUGGCUCUGCUUGCUGGCGCGGUAAUAAACCCCUUGGCGUUGACUUUGAUAAGCACUUGUGCAUAAAAAUAAUACAACUUUUAACAAUGGAUCUCUUGGCUCUC